GCCUAACCAUAAACUUUGACUUAUCCGCCAGAGUACUACGAGCAACAGCUUAAAACUCAAAGGACUUGGCGGUGCUCUAUACCCACCUAGAGGAGCCUGUUCUGUAAUCGAUAAUCCCCGAUAAACCUCACCAUCUAUUGCCAAUACAGCCUAUAUACCACCGUCCAGCCCGCCCUCCGAAGGUUUAAAAGCAGGCAUAAUUAUAACCAUAAAAACGUCAGGUCAAGGUGUAGCUAAUAAGAUGGGAAGAAAUGGGCUACAUUUUCUAACCUAGAAAACACAAAAGAGUUUUUGAAACAAAGCUCCGAAGGAGGAUUUAGCAGUAAAAAGAAAAAAGAGUGUUCUUUUUAAGCCGGCAAUGGAGCGCGC
RNAcentral lists this ribosomal RNA (369 nucleotides) under Pleurodeles poireti (Algerian ribbed newt). RNAcentral describes it as "partial 12S ribosomal RNA". It matches the Rfam family "Bacterial small subunit ribosomal RNA", at positions 794 to 1384 of the family's 1533-position model. Lineage: Eukaryota; Metazoa; Chordata; Amphibia; Caudata; Salamandridae. The record is from RNAcentral.